RNAcentral lists this long non-coding RNA (372 nucleotides) under Homo sapiens (human). Its description in RNAcentral is "HSALNT0193685". Lineage: Eukaryota; Metazoa; Chordata; Mammalia; Primates; Hominidae. The record is from RNAcentral.
AAGGAAAGGCUUGUUAGGGAAGUCACAUCUCAGCUGAGAUUUGAAAGGUAAGUUGGAGGAAGCCUAGUGAAGAAAGCUGAAGGAGGAAUGUAGAGCGUUCAGGAUAAAGCAGCAGCCCGUGGUAAGCUUAGAAUCAUCAUCCACCACGACAAGAUGCAAGAUAGGUAAUCAAUUCAGUACAUCAGAAUCACUGGCUAUGAAGAGAAGAUUCAAGCAGAGACCUGCAGGAUCAAACACUAGCUGAAUUGCUGGGGUUGCAAAGAGGAAUAAAACCGUCACCUGCUUGGAGGACGUCAAAAUCUACAAAGAAGAGGAGGUAGGUACCAGGACCUCUGCCAAGAGACAGCGACACAAUGGUGAACCAGGAAAUGG